UGGAGUUGGGAAAAGUAUACAGUAACAAAAGAAAAUACAGUAGCAAACAGGUAUCAUGAUAGACCAACAAGUAGCAGGACAGAGGGUGGAACUCGUAUAGCCCUACCAAACUGGGACAAGAGCAUUGAUUGCACAUUUGGUGAACAAACAGCACCACAACAAAACCUUCAGUACGACCUUACAAAAAGAGAUUCAUUUACUGAACAUACUAGCUGCAAGACUAAAAACGACGGUUGCCGGGCGUUAAUUCUGGGUUACUACAGGCUAACGCAGGACGAACAUGUGGAGAUCUGGACGCAGAAACCGCGCACGAACCAGCGCCAGCAGCAGAAGACGCAGCGGCACCCAAUCCCCUGGCGCUCCUCCGCCAGCCAGAAGCUCCAAAUCCGCAAUCCGCGCCUCCCCAAACCCCGGAUCGCCGGAGAAUUCGGCUCGGAGAAGGCACAAAUCCGCCGCCCUCCCCUUCCCAAAAUCUCGCCAAAAUCGCCAGGGGGUUAA
RNAcentral lists this ribosomal RNA (498 nucleotides) under Triticum aestivum (bread wheat). RNAcentral describes it as "partial small subunit ribosomal RNA". Lineage: Eukaryota; Viridiplantae; Streptophyta; Magnoliopsida; Poales; Poaceae. The record is from RNAcentral.